CCUACGGGAGGCAGCAGUGGGGAAUAUUGGACAAUGGGGGCAACCCUGAUCCAGCCAUGCCGCGUGUGUGAAGAAGGCCCUCGGGUUGUAAAGCACUUUCAGUGAGGAAGAACGCCUGGUGGUUAAUACCCAUCAGGAAAGACAUCACUCACAGAAGAAGCACCGGCUAACUCCGUGCCAGCAGCCGCGGUAAUACGGAGGGUGCGAGCGUUAAUCGGAAUUACUGGGCGUAAAGCGCGCGUAGGUGGCUUGAUAAGCCGGUUGUGAAAGCCCCGGGCUCAACCUGGGAACGGCAUCCGGAACUGUCAAGCUAGAGUGCAGGAGAGGAAGGUAGAAUUCCCGGUGUAGGGGUGAAAUGCGUAGAGAUCGGGAGGAAUACCAGUGGCGAAGGCGGCCUUCUGGACUGACACUGACACUGAGGUGCGAAAGCGUGGGUAGCAAACAGGAUUAGAUACCCUAGUAGUC
Molecule: ribosomal RNA, 465 nt
Filed under: Vreelandella stevensii
Lineage: Bacteria; Pseudomonadati; Pseudomonadota; Gammaproteobacteria; Oceanospirillales; Halomonadaceae
Description: partial 16S ribosomal RNA
Rfam family: Bacterial small subunit ribosomal RNA
Source: RNAcentral